RNAcentral lists this ribosomal RNA (253 nucleotides) under uncultured bacterium. RNAcentral's name for it is "partial 16S ribosomal RNA". It matches the Rfam family "Bacterial small subunit ribosomal RNA", at positions 524 to 776 of the family's 1533-position model. The record is from RNAcentral.
UACGUAGGGGGCUAGCGUUGUCCGGAAUCAUUGGGCGUAAAGAGCGUGUAGGCGGUCCGGUAAGUCCGCUGUGAAAGUCGGGGGCUCAACCCUCGAAUGCCGGUGGAUACUGUCGGGCUAGAGUACGGAAGAGGCGAGUGGAAUUCCUGGUGUAGCGGUGAAAUGCGCAGAUAUCAGGAGGAACACCUAUUGCGAAGGCAGCUCGCUGGGACGUAACUGACGCUGAGGAGCGAAAGUGUGGGGAGCGAACAGG